Non-coding RNA from Myotis davidii, 68 nucleotides. NCBI's taxonomy places the organism in Eukaryota, Metazoa, Chordata, Mammalia, Chiroptera, Vespertilionidae. The record is from Rfam.
GGCCAGGUAGCUCAGUUGGUUAGAGUGUCGGCCUGAUAAGCCAAGAUUGUGGGUUUGAUCCCUGGUCA